RNAcentral lists this ribosomal RNA (456 nucleotides) under uncultured bacterium. RNAcentral describes it as "bacterial SSU rRNA". It matches the Rfam family "Bacterial small subunit ribosomal RNA", at positions 340 to 786 of the family's 1533-position model. The record is from RNAcentral.
UACGGAAGGCAGCAGUGGGGAAUAUUGCACAAUGGGCGAAAGCCUGAUGCAGCUAUGCCGCGUGUAUGAAGAAGGCCUUAGGGUUGUAAAGUACUUUCAUCGGGGAGGAAAAAACAAAACUAAUAAUUUUAUUUCUUGACGUUACCCGAAAAAGAAGCACCGGCUAACUCCGUGCCAGCAGCCGCGGUAAUACGGAGGGUGCUAGCGUUAAUCAGAAUUACUGGGCGUAAAGAGCACGUAGGUGGUUUUUUAAGUUCAGAUGUGAAAUCCCUGGGCUUAACCUAGGAACUGCAUUUGAAACUGAAAUACUAGAGUAUCGUAGAGGGAGGUAGAAUUCUAGGUGUAGCGGUGAAAUGCGUAGAUAUCUGGAGGAAUACCUGUGGCGAAAGCGGCCUCCUAAACGAAUACUGACACUGAGGUGCGAAAGCGUGGGGAGGCAAACAGGGAUUAGAUACC